This is a long non-coding RNA of Thalassophryne amazonica, 136 nucleotides long. RefSeq lists it as uncharacterized. The record is from RefSeq and is a predicted model, not a curated record. The transcript is spliced from 3 exons. NCBI's taxonomy places the organism in Eukaryota, Metazoa, Chordata, Actinopteri, Batrachoidiformes, Batrachoididae.
AUGAGCCAGAAAAAAGUGGAGCUUUCCAUUAAGGAGCAUUCUAAGCAACAAUUUGAGGAUGCCAUGAUGUCAUGAUAAACAAUUCUGGUGCUUAAAAAUGCAACGUUACAUUCAUUUCAGAAAAUACUCAUGAGGA